RNAcentral lists this ribosomal RNA (497 nucleotides) under uncultured bacterium. Its description in RNAcentral is "partial 16S ribosomal RNA". It matches the Rfam family "Bacterial small subunit ribosomal RNA", at positions 28 to 507 of the family's 1533-position model. The record is from RNAcentral.
GACGAACGCUGGCGGCGUGCCUAAUACAUGCAAGUAGAACGCUGAAGCGAGGAGCUUGCUCUUCUUGGAUGAGUUGCGAACGGGUGAGUAACGCGUAGGUAACCUGCCUGGCAGCCGGGGAUAACUAUUGGAAACGAUAGCUAAUACCGCAUAAAAUUGAUUAUUGCAUGAUACUUAAUUGAAAGACGCUACUGCAUCACUACCAGAUGGACCUGCGUUGUAUUAGCUAGUUGGUGAGGUAACGGCUCACCAAGGCGACGAUACAUAGCCGAGCUGAGAGGGUAGACAGCCACACUGGAAGUGAGACACGGCCCAGACUCCUACAGGGAGCAGCGGAAGAGAAGCUUCGGCAAUGAGGGGAACCCUGACCAAACAAAGCCGCGUGAGAGGAGAAGGUUUUCGGGGCGUAAAGCACUGUUGUAAGAGAAGAACGGAGGUGAGAGUGGAAAGUUCACGCUGUGACAGUAUCUUACCAGAAAAGGACGGCUAACUACGUG